RNAcentral lists this ribosomal RNA (253 nucleotides) under uncultured bacterium. RNAcentral describes it as "partial 16S ribosomal RNA". It matches the Rfam family "Bacterial small subunit ribosomal RNA", at positions 524 to 776 of the family's 1533-position model. The record is from RNAcentral.
GACGAACCACACAAACGUUAUUCGGAAUUACUGGGCUUAAAGGGUGCGUAGGCGGCGCAGAAAGUAGGGUGUGAAAUCCCUCGGCUCAACCGAGGAACUGCGCCCUAAACUACUGUGCUCGAGGGAGGUAGAGGUGAGCGGAACUCAGGGUGGAGCGGUGAAAUGCGUUGAUAUCCUAAGGAACACCGGUGGCGAAAGCGGCUCACUGGACCUCUUCUGACGCUGAGGCACGAAAGCUAGGGUAGCGAACGGG